GACGAACGCUGGCGGCGUGCUUAACACAUGCAAGUCGAACGAAGAGCGAUGGAAGCUUGCUUCUAUCAAUCUUAGUGGCGAACGGGUGAGUAACGCGUAAUCAACCUGCCCUUCAGAGGGGGACAACAGUUGGAAACGACUGCUAAUACCGCAUACGAUCUAAUCUCGGCAUCGAGGAUAGAUGAAAGGUGGCCUCUACAUGUAAGCUAUCACUGAAGGAGGGGAUUGCGUCUGAUUAGCUAGUUGGAGGGGUAACGGCCCACCAAGGCGAUGAUCAGUAGCCGGUCUGAGAGGAGGAACGGCCACAUUGGGACUGAGACACGGCCCAGACUCCUACGGGAGGCAGCAGUGGGGAAUCUUCCGCAAUGGACGAAAGUCUGACGGAGCAACGCCGCGUGAGUGAGGGCGGCCGUCGGGUUGUAAAGCUCUGUUAAUCGGGACGAAAGGCCUUCUUGCGAAUAGUGAGAAGGAUUGACGGUACCGGAAUAGAAAGCCACGGCUAACUACGUG
Molecule: ribosomal RNA, 510 nt
Filed under: uncultured bacterium
Lineage: Bacteria
Description: partial 16S ribosomal RNA
Rfam family: Bacterial small subunit ribosomal RNA
Source: RNAcentral